UUGGCCCUAAAUCAAGGCCAGCAGUUUGCUGAAGCUGUUGGUUUCAAGCAGGAGCCUAAAGAAAAGUCUUCUUAUGGUCUGUUGGUCAUUUCAGAGCUAUGGAAAUGUAAUGACCAAUUCAUUAGGAAGAAACAUCU
Small nucleolar RNA from Tupaia belangeri (northern tree shrew), 137 nucleotides. The record is from Ensembl. NCBI's taxonomy places the organism in Eukaryota, Metazoa, Chordata, Mammalia, Scandentia, Tupaiidae.